Molecule: long non-coding RNA, 2371 nt
Organism: Eriocheir sinensis (Chinese mitten crab)
Lineage: Eukaryota; Metazoa; Arthropoda; Malacostraca; Decapoda; Varunidae
Exons: 4
Source: RefSeq, a predicted model, not a curated record
AUUCAACCUUACUUUCCACAAACAACAACAUAAUAUUCACUUUUGGCACGCUCACAGAAGUUUCCCUUGGACCAUCUCAUUCAACCUUACUUUCCACAAACAACAACAUAAUAUUCACUUUUGGCACGCUCACAGAAGUUUCCCUUGGACCAUCUCAUUCAACCUCACUGUCCACAAACAACAUAAUAUUCAUUCUUGACACACUCAUUGAAGUUUCCUCUUAUUCAUCCUCUCCAAAUUUUCCUUUCACAAACACAUACUUAACAUUCUCUCUCUUAACACACCAACUGAAGCUUCUGAGGUACUAGUAUUUUCCUUCCAUUUAAAAAUAUAACUUCCCAUCUGUGUUCUUACUAAUGUCUAUCUAUCAACGUCUAUGUAUCUAUCAGUCUACCCAUCUAUAUCCUCAUUCAUGUAUUUAGGUACUCAUAUUUUCCUUCCUUUUAAAAUAUCUAACCUCUAUCUAUGUAUCAGUUAUUUACUUAUUUUUCUCUAUGGCAUCACAAACAUCAACAACACAUUCUCUCUCUUUGACACACCCACUUACGUUUCCCUUGAUCCGUUCUAUCCAAAUUUGCCGUCCACAAACACUAACAUAACAUUCUUUCCUGACACACCCAUUGAGGUUUUCCCUGAUCCCCGCCCACCUUUGUUCGUCAGUGGCAAACCUUAACCUUUCGUCCUGAGGGAGGAAGACCAGAUUCAAUAACAGGUUUGGCCAUCCCGCCGCGGCCAGUGUCGAGUGGCUGCCAACUUGCCACUGACACGAGACACUAGAUACCUCCCCGUCUCUCUCACCCACCCCCGCACUCCCCCGCCUGUCCCCGCAAUCCCUCACGCUACUCACCUUCCUUAACACUGUCACCGAACACCGCUCACACUCAUUAACACCUCUCGGGGAUGAUACACCAGACAGUAAGUCAUAUUAAACGUAUCGAACUUCCAUUAUGACCAUUUCCCAAGGCCACAGAGGUUUUCAUGGGUGUUUUUUUUUCUCGUUCAAAGUGUAGACCAUAUUAUUAAACGUACUAAGCUACCUUUAGGACCAUUUCCCAAGGCCACAGGGAAGACUAACCAGGUUUUCACGGGUGACUUUUCCCCGUUGAAGAUGCAGGGGCCGUGUCAAACUACCACUAGGAGCACAAAACUACUAUUUCCUAAGGCCACAGGGAAGACUAACCAGGUUUUCAUGGGUGACUUAUCUCGUUCAUGAUGCAGAGGCCGUGUCAGACUAUUACUAGCAUCACAAAACAGCCCAUGAGAAUCCCAGCAGCUUCCACGUGAGGCUUUUCAAACGUGGGAACUUAAGCGCCGAUACGUUUACGAGUAGGGACAUUUUGGAUAGGUAUCUGAUGGAGCAUUAAAAUCUUCUGCCGUAUGAACAUGAGUGAGUGUGUGGGUGUGCGUGUGUGUGUGCGUGGGCAGCGUGACUCAGUGGGAACGCAAGUGUAGCGGCAGAUAGGUUCGGCCAUAUAAGGAGCGGCUCCCCCCACCUACUCCACCCGAAUUAGGCGCCCUUCUGACGUCACUCCCCGCGUCGUAGCAGAGUAGACCCGCUGUGUGUUGUCUUUCGUGGCUCAUUGAGGGAACAGGUUUUCUGAAUGAGCGGCUUGACAUGCGGGAGACUCUAGGGCACUGUUAGGUUAAGUUAGUGAAGGUGGAGGCUGGGGACAGGUUAAGUUAGGUGAAGGUUAGGUAGCAGAGUGAAUGAGUGACUGUGUGUUGUUAUUCUGAAUUAGCGGGUUAACAUGCGGGCGACUCUAGGGCACAGUUAGGUUAAGUUAGUGAAGGUGGAGGCUGGGGAUAGGUUAAGUUAGGUGAAGGUUAGGUUAGGUAACAUAAUAGAUACCAGCUGUGGGUUGUUUUUCACGGCGCAGAGAAGGAACAGGUUUUCUGAAUGAGCGGCUUGACACACGGGCGACUCUAGGACACAGUUAGGGAGCCAGAGUAAGCGUGAAGGUUAUAUUAGACACAGUUAGGUUAAGAUUGGCUAGUCUAGUGAAAGUGGGCGAUGGAAAAAGCUAACCAGAGGACGCAUGAAGGUUAGAUUAGGCACAGUUAGGUUAAGAUUGGCUAGUCUAGUGAAAGUGGGCGAUGGAAAUAGCUAACCAGAGGACGUAUGGAGGUUAGAUUAGGCACAGUUAGGUUAAGAUUGGCUAGUCUAGUGAAAGUGGGCGAUGGAAAUAGCUAACCAGAGGACGUAUGGAGGUUAGAUUAGACACAGUUAGGUUAAAUUAGAUAAGGUUAAGUUAGGGAAGAAGGAGGAUGGGUAUAGAUGGCCAGAGAACGCGUGGAGAUUAGGUAGGUACUCUUCUCUAUACCUGAGCGUGAUGAUGCAAUGCUCACCUUCAGAUUGUGCUGACAGGUGUGU